GCGGAGGAAAAGAAACUAACAAGGAUUCCCCUAGUAACGGCGAGUGAAGCGGGAAGAGCUCAAAUUUGUAAUCUGGCACUUUCAGUGUCCGAGUUGUAAUCUCGAGAAGUGUUUUCCGCGCCGGACCGCAUACAAGUCUGUUGGAAUACAGCGUCAUAGUGGUGAGAGCCCCGUAACUGAUGCGGAUGCCCGGUGCUUUGUGAUACACUUUCGAAGAGUCGAGUUGUUUGGGAAUGCAGCUCAAAUUGGGUGGUAAAUUCCAUCUAAAGCUAAAUAUUGGCGAGAGACCGAUAGCGAACAAGUACCGUGAGGGAAAGAUGAAAAGCACUUUGGAAAGAGAGUUAACAGUACGUGAAAUUGUUGGAAGGGAAACGCUUGAAGUCAGACUUGCUAUUCGGAAUUCAGCCGCAAGGUGUACUUUUCGAUUUGCAGGCCAGCAUCAGUUUUUGGGGGUGGAAAAGGGUGGAGAGAAGGUAGCAACCCCGGUUGUGUUAUAGCUCUUCACUGGAUUCAUCUUCGGGGACUGAGGAUCGCAGCGCGCUUUAUUGCAAGGCUCUCGAGCUUUUCGCGCUUAGGAUGCUGGUGGAAUGGCUUUAAACGACCCGUCUUGA
Molecule: ribosomal RNA, 611 nt
Filed under: Camptobasidiaceae sp.
Lineage: Eukaryota; Fungi; Basidiomycota; Microbotryomycetes; Kriegeriales; Camptobasidiaceae
Description: partial large subunit ribosomal RNA
Rfam family: Eukaryotic large subunit ribosomal RNA
Source: RNAcentral